AACAUACUACCUCCGUUCCAUAAUUCUUGUCGAAAUAUUACAUGUAUCUAGACGCUUUUUAGGAAUAGAUACAUCCAUGUUUUGGUAAAUUUGAGACAAGAAUUAUGGAACGGAGGGAGUAUAUU
Brachypodium distachyon (stiff brome) is the source of this 125-nucleotide non-coding RNA. The record is from Rfam. Lineage: Eukaryota; Viridiplantae; Streptophyta; Magnoliopsida; Poales; Poaceae.